This 21285-nucleotide long non-coding RNA is filed under the name Carica papaya (papaya). Its description in RNAcentral is "long non-coding RNA (CPAP_LNC007349)". The record is from RNAcentral. Lineage: Eukaryota; Viridiplantae; Streptophyta; Magnoliopsida; Brassicales; Caricaceae.
GAAGAGGUGAAGGCUUCAAUGGAGAAUGGGGUGCUCACUGUUACGGUGCCUAAAGCGGAGGUGAAGAAGCCUGACGUUAAGGCCAUCGAGAUUUCUGGCUGAAAGUUUCAAAUCCAAGAUUGUCGUCUUGGUCAUCUCUUCUGCAACAGGUGUUUGUUGAUGCUUUUGUCUGCUAGAUGUUUGACAAUAUGCCACCUUUGUGUUAUUGUUUUUAAGAUGUUGGAUAAAAUACAAGAUUGUUAGUGUCUCUCCUGUGGGUUUUUGGAUUUUGUAAUGAUAAUACAGAAUUGAUGUUCUAAUAAUAAGAAAGUAAUACAAAUAAUAAAAUUAUUUUCUGCUUCAUUAUUAUUAUUAUUAUUUUUCUGCUUUGAGAGUUAAUAAUCAUUUCUCGAUUGUUCUCUCUAAGAGAAGUGAUUGUUUGCCAUUCAUUUUGUCAAGGUAGAGUCGGAGUAAAGCCUGCGGAGGGUAGACCUGCUGUCGUGUCUACGGAGACCCGGUAUUGACAUGUUUGUUUUGGUUUGCUCUGCUAUUCUAUUUAACCAAAAGCAUCAAGUACUCUUACAAGCUAGUUCUGCCUGAUAUAUGUAGAUGGCUGAGGAGAGAACAGAAUCAUACAAAUUGAAUUUGUAGAUGACCCAGAAAAGCUUAAAACAUGCUGAUUGAAUUAUAUAGAUGAUACUAAAGAAUUCAACAUCAGGAUAAUACCUUGGUGGCAUCAUCUGGGCCAACUCUUCUUGAAGGCUAAAAGCUCCUGAUUAAAGACACUAGAGUUAGGUUAGUCAUUGAGGAUAUGAAGUAUGUUCAGGCUAACUGGUGGGACAAGGAAAUUGUAAUGAAUAUGAGCAGAAAUAAUGGAUCAGAUUGUUCAAAUUUAUUUUCUACCCCUUCAACACAUGAUAACUGCUUGUUCUGGAGUCAAUCUCCUUGGACACCUUCAAUUCAAUCAUAUACCAAUCCCUACUACCAAGGAUUUGGCUUCUUGGUAUUUUUAUCUGCUCACAGUUUUCGGUGAAUGAGGUUAUGACAUGGGUUUCAAAUCCCAAAGUCUGAAAGAGUUAUGGCCCUUAACUUAGAAAGGAAAACUAGCAGCACCGACGUUUAUGAAAAAAUGGCUGCUGCAGACUGCUUGAGGACGAAGAUUUGGUCUGCAUUACAGCGUCUAAUAUUUUCUGGCAGGUUUUUGGAAUCAGGUUAUUACAAGUCUAGCUAGUUGAUUCACAAUUAGAGCCUUCCUAUGAUUUUUUUGGAGUCAGGUUAAACAUUCACUUUUCACGCAUUUGAAAAACUUAGUUUGUGACAACCACUUUGUAAGAAGAACAUUUUUUUGCAUUCUUUGAGAAUGAGACAACCCUAAGAGGACAUAAUAAACUCUACCAACUCAUUCAAGGAAUUGCUUGAAGGACCAUCACUAUUAAUGCUAGCUUCAGCCAUAUGUUUUAAAUCCCUUGACCUCUUUCUCAUCUCCUUCCCUUCUUCUUCAACCAUUAGUCUCAGAACAAUUUUCUCUAUUUCACCUCGCUCCAACUCAUUUUCAUACUGCCAACCUACUUUCCAUACUUGGCUAACAUACCUUGCAGUCACAUUUUGAUCCCCAAAACAUGGUCUGCAUAUCAUUGGAACCCCUUCACAUAUACUUUCAAGUGUGGAAUUCCAUCCGCAAUGGGUCCAGAACCCUCCUACUACAUCAUGUGCCAGCACUUGUUUCUGGGGUGCCCAUCUCACAAUGCAGCCUCUUUCUCUAACUGAAAAUUUGAAAUUCUUUGUGAAUGGCUCCAUCCAUUCGGAGGCAAUUUUCUGGCUGGAUCGUAUUACCCACAAGAAAGGCUGCUUGCUAUUGGCCAGUCCCCAAGCCAUCUCUUCUACCUCCUUAGCAUCCAUGGAUGCUAUGCUUCCCAAGCUUAUGUACAUGACAGAAUUUUGAGCUCGCUUGUCGAGCCAUGCUAUGCAACUGGUGUCCUCUUCUAAUAAGCUACUGGUGGAUUCUGGAGCAAGCUUAUGCAUAGGGUCAAUUGGGAAGAUUGUGUGCUGUUUUUGGUGCUGAAUAAUUGCUAAUGACGAUUGUUCAAGACAAUCCAUCGUGUUAAAUACUGUUGCUGAGCUUCUUUCUGUAUUGGACAAGUUAGGCAUCAGUUGCGAGGUUUGUUCUUCUGAUCCAGGUUUCAUAAAGGGUAGAUCUUUGAACCUCAGAGGAUAGUGUUCAGGCACUAGAUCAUGCAAUACAGAGUCUGUAGUUCAAAGUCAGAUUUCCAGUAUCAGUGGUUUGUCUAUUGUAAUUAAAUACAGACGAGAUUUCUAAAAGUUAGGGAACCAGCAACCCAUUAACGUAAUUUGCUGGAAAAGAGAGAUGGCCAUAUCUCUAAGCGUACAUGUUUUGCUAUCGAGAGAGGCACGAACAUGUUAUAAUACCUGGUAAAGGAAGGCGGCCUUGUAAAUAUAUCUUGGGAAUGACUGCACGAGCAAGGUAACUUGUGGCACUGCAAGUUCAAAACAAGAUGCUUGGAGGCUUGAAAUGACUGGCAACUAUUGGAGUGAAAUACAUGGCCUCGUCAUAGAUGAUGCAGGCGAUUUGAGGAUGAGAACAGUCCUGGUGAUUUAUCGUCUGGGCCAAGAGUUUUUUGAAGGGUUCUUGACAUUUGGCAUUAAGAAGCAGAACAAGAUCUACCAUAUUUCCUGGAGAAAUCUGUUGCUCAAGAAAGAUAUCUGGUUUGGAGAUGAAGUUGAAGGCAGGGUGGACUGAUGGGUUGGGAGAGUUGAAUCGAGCAUGAAUUAUGGUGAUGGAGAAUCCUUUUGAGUGAAGAACUGAACCUAGCUGAAGCAUUGGGUUUAUGUGACCCUGAAAUGGACAUGGCACAGGCAACAAUUUGCAACCUUUCUUUUCUUCUUUCUCCAUCUCUCUUUAGCCCUCUCUCUGUAUAUGAUUUCAAUUUAGGCUGCAGCAAGUUCAAUGAGGUAUUUUGUUUUAAUGAAGUUUAUACUAUACAUAUAUAUGUGUGUGUGGAAUUGUGGAGACAGAAUCCACAAAAAGAUCUGGUGUAAUUUGAGCAAAAAAAAGAACAUUCCACUAAGAAAUCUGGUGUGAUUUAAGAAAAAAAUCUGUAGUUUUAGUGUAUAUAUAUUGCAGUUAUAGGAUUAUAAUUUUCUUAAAAAGUUAUAUGAUUUGCAACACUUACUUUUUAAGGUCUGACAUUAUAUGGAUGCAAUUUAGUACUAAAGUUACAUUUUAGCAUAGUUUGGUUAACUUUUAUUCUACAUCCCUUCUUUCAUUCAUCUCAUCUCUUUGAAACUUGUACAAUGAAACGCCUUUUUCUUUCUUUUUUUUCUUUUCCCUUGUUUAGUUCAAGGUCAUCAAAAAGUGGAAAAGAGCUAACCUUCUUCAUAAUUUUUUUUUUCUGGAGCUGUAUAUCACUCCUUUAUAAGAGGAUUGUGUAGACAAAAGGAUUUGUUCGUAGUGAUUUAUCUUUAAACUUUGUUGGAUAAUAGUUAUAAAGUUAUGUUAGAAAUUUCCAAAAAAAAAAAGGAAGCUAAUCUGGCUGCCUUGACAUUUUGGACACGUUCAUGAAUUUCCUCUCUCUUCUCUGUCACCUUCUGGGGAAAGUCCUGCGGAUGUUAACAGGCAUGCGGGCUGGAAGGAGACACCGGAGGCGGACAUCUCCCUGUGAUGAAGAAUGAGGAAGUGAAAGUGGAAGUGGGAAGAUGGCAGGGUGAGACACAUGACAUUGCACUCGGUGGAGUGCAGCAGUACUAAAUUCUCGACGAGGUUCGGGUGGGUUGCCGGAGAUGAAGGCUUAAUGGAGAAAGGGGGUGCUCACUACUUCUGUCCCUAAAGCUGAGGUGACGAAGCCUGACGUCAAGGCCGUUGAGAUUUCUGGCUGACCAUUUUGUAGCAAGUAUUAAAUAUUCACCUAUAUCAGAAUUGCUUAUUUUAAAAUUUUAAAUAAUAAUUAUUUGUUCUGCCAAAAUUAAUUAUAAUUUAUAUGUUUGAUGUAUGAUAAAAUUAAUUUUUUCUUUAUUUUUAACUGAACAAUGAUGAAAAUGAGCGGGCUUAUUGGUUUAGAUUCGGUAAAUUUUAAUUAAUUAAAGUUAAAUUCUAUUUAUAUUUUAAAGAAUUGAAAUUGAUAAUUAUUAUACAUAUUAUCACAUUAGUUUUAUUUUUAUAUUUUAAAAUUUGAUAAAUAAUAUUUAAAAUUAUCCCUAUCAUAUAUAAUUUUAAUUAUAUUAGAUUAUAUAUUUUAAAAUUUAUUAAUUUAUUUUAAUACAUUUAACGUUGAAAACUCAAAGAGUCAAACGCCUUCUGGGUCUCCUAGGGGGCUCGUCUUUGAAAAGCCCAUUAUAAAACCCAACUACUUAAAUGGGCCUUGAAGCCCAUAAAAAGAAAUAUCUGGAACAUUCGCCUUCCUCCUCUUUUGUUUGACUUGCUUUUCGCGCGAAACUAACAGAAGAAACAGAAGCUGGAAGAAGAAUCUGGACAUGGAAAUUCUCCUCCCGCAACUCUAUUCUCCUUUUUAUAAGUCCACCGAUCAGCCCUCCUCUUCGCCAUCGAACCGCAAAACAUAGCAAGCUAAUAUCUCUCUACACCUUUUAUUUCAAAGUUUUCUCAAGCUCAAACCUAUCUUUUUAACAAUGUCGCUGAUUCCAAGCUUCUUCGGCCACCGAAGCAGCGUCUUCGAUCCCUUCUCCCUCGACGUUUGGGAGCCGUUUUGGAAUUCCCCUCUCCGUUCAUCGUCAAUUUCUCGGGAGAGUUCCGCGAUCAUUAACACUCGUGUGGACUGGAAGGAGACCCCGGAGGCGCACGUGUUCGCGGCGGAUCUCCCGGGGAUGAAGAAGGAGGAGGUGAAAGUGGAGGUGGAAGAUAACAGGGUGCUGAAGAUCAGCGGGGAGAGACACGUGGAGGAGGAGGAGAAGAACGAGACGUGGCACCGUGUGGAACGUAGGAGCGGGAAGUUCUCGAGGAGGUUCAGGUUGCCGGAGAACGUGAAGAUGGAAGAGGUGAAGGCUUCAAUGGAAAAUGGGGUGCUCACUGUUACUGUACCUAAAGCUGAAGUGAAGAAGCCUGACGUUAAGGCUAUCGAGAUUUCUGGUUGAAAGUUUCGAACCCUGGGUUGUCGUCUUGGUCACGUCUUCUGCAACAGGUGUUUGUUGAUUCUUUUGUACGCUAAAUGUUUGACAAAAUGCCACCUUUGUGUUAUUGUUUGUAAGAUGUUUGAUAAAAUGCUAGACUGUUGGAGUGUCUCAUGUGGGUUUUUGGAUUUUGUAGUGAUAAUAUAGAAUUACUGAAUUGAUGUUCUAAUAAUAAGAAAAUAAUACAUAUUAUAAAAUUAUUUUCUGGUUCGUAAUUUUUUUCUUCUUGGAGAGUUAAUUAUCAUUUCACAAUUGUUCCUUUUAAGAGAAGUGAUUGUUUUCCAUUCGUUUUGUUACGGUAGAUUCGGACUAAAGCCUGUGGCGUGUAGAUCUGCUGUCAUGUGUGUGGACUCAUCAAUGAUAUGUUUGUUUUGGUUUGCUCUGGUAUUCCCUUUAACAAAAGCAUCAAGUACUUUGACAAGCUAGCUCUGCCUGAAAUAUCUUAGAUGGCUUAGGAGAGUAUAGUAUCAUACAAAUUGAAUUUGUAGAUGACAUUGAAAAGCUUAAAACAUGCUGAUUGAAUUAUAUAGAUGACUCCGAAGAAUUCAACCUGAGGCUGAUAACUUGUUGUCAUGAUCUUGUCCAAAUCUUCUUGAAAUGGACUUCUUUCAUGUUGAUGCUGAGACUCAAUUUAAAGGCUAUAAUGGAAUCCUGAUUAAAGACAUUAGAGUUAGAUUAGUCAUUGAGAAUAGGAAGAGAUGAAAUAUGUUCAGGAUAACUGGUGGGUCAAGGAAAUUGAAACGAAUGUGAGCAGAAGCAAUGGAUUGGAUUGUCUGAACUUAUUUCCUAUUUCUUUAACACAUGAUAAUUGCUUGUUCUGGAUUUAAUCUCCUUGGACACCUUAGAUUCAAUCAUAUGCCUUUCCGCACUACCAAGGUUUUUGGCUUCUUGGUAUUUUCUUGCUCACCAAUUUAGCUGAAUGAGGUUUUGACAUGGGUUUCAAGUCCCUGAGUUCUGAAAGAGUAUUGGCCCUUAACUUAACAAGAAAAACUAACAGUACCGUUGUACGUGAAAAAAUGGCUUACUGCAGACGGCUUGAGGAAGAAGAUUUCAUCUCCAUUACAGCAUCAAAUGUUUUCUUUCAGGUUUUUUGGAGUCAGGUUAUUACUAGUUUAGCUAGUUGAUUUACAAUUAGAGCCUUCCUUUAAUUUCUUUUCAAUAAUGAAAAGUCAGUUGUUACAAAGUAUACAGAACAAUCCCCACUGGGGCUUAAACAUUCACCUUUCAAGCAUUUAAAAAACUUAGUUUAUAACAACCAGUUUGUAAAAACAACAUUCUUUUGCAUCCUUUGGGAAUAGCAAAACCAAGAGAAACCUAGGAGGACAUAAUAAACUCUACCAACUCAUUCAAGGAAAUAUGCGAAGGACCAUCACUAUUAAAGCUAGCUUCAAGCUUAUGCUUUAAGUCCCUUGCCCUCAUCCUCAUUUCUUUCCCUUCUUCUUCAACCAUUAGUCUCAGAACAAUUUUCUCUAUUUCACCUUGCUCCAUGUUGAUCGAAAGCGAAUAAGCUUCAAAGGAGGCUCUGUGAAUGAGAAAACUUAGAGAGAGAAAGUUGAGGAGAGAGAGGGCAGCAAAACAGAGCAAGUUUAUGCAACUGCCUCUGUUUUGCUGUUUUGAAGAGGCGUGCCCUUUCUUUGGAGAGAAGAAGUAAUCUCUUCUUUUUAUUUCAGCAUAUAUAUAUAUAUAUAUAUAUAGAAAUAAAAAUUUAAACAGAUUACAUCAACCGAUCAAAUCAGAUCGACCGAAAAUCAUGCAUACACAUCGCAUGGAAUUUUACGUAUCCUUCCGUGAAACAACUUCACAGUGGAUUUCUUUUUUUUGAAUUUAAACUCAACAGAAAAAAUCAUUAAAUUUAACACUCCCCCUUAAUGACUUUUUUCACCAAUUCCCACCUUUUCCCGCAAUUCCUCAAAUUUAGCUUUAGACAAGGCCUUGGUUAGAAUGUCUGCAAGCUGAUCAUCAGUGGAACAAUGUAUCAGCUUUAUUUCUUGAUUCCUCUCAGCCUCACGUAUAGCAUGAUACUUAACGUUGAUGUGUUUAGUUCUCCUGUGCAUUACAGGAUUUUUCGCAAUGGCAAUUGCAGACUUGUUGUCUACAUACAACACUGUAGGUGUUUGUUUGUCCAGUUUUACAUCAUUGAACAUCUUUCUCAACCAAAUUGCUUAGUUAGUUGCUGUAGCUGCGGCUACAUACUCAGCCUCAGCUGUGAACUGAGCCACAGUAUCCUGUUUCUUAGAUACCCAUGAAAAAGCACCGGAGCCUAGUUUGAACAAGUAACCAGUUGUGCUACGUGCAUCUUCUACGCUUCCUGCCCAAUAAUUGUCACUGUAGCCGACUAAUCCACCCUUAGCUCUUGCUUUGAAUUGAACACUAAAAUUCCAGGUUCCUUUCAAGUACCUCAGCACAUGUUUGGCAGCUUGUAAGUGUGAUUCCCUCGGUGAAGUCAUGUACCUUGAAAGCAAACUUACUGCAAACAAAAUAUCUGGUCUGGUAGCUGUGAGAUACAGAAGGCUCCCAAUCAGACUUCUGUAAUUCCCCUCUUCAACUUUGUUACCUUUCUCGUCCUUUGACAAUUUCAAGUUGGACACCAGUGAUGUAGAUAUUGAUUUACAGUGAUUCAUGUUGAAUUUAUUUAGAAUUUCUUUGGCAUACUUGCCUUGUGAAAGAAAAAUAUCCAGGUUGCUUUGAUGAAUCUCCAUUCCCAGGAAGUAGGUAGCCUCCCCAAGAUCAGACAUCUCAAAUUCUUUUUCAAAUUUCAGCUUGAACUCUAUCAUUUUCCUUUUGUUGCUGCCUGUCACCAGUAUAUCAUCAACAUAUUCAGCACUUUGACGUGCUCAUUCUGCUUGAAGUAUGCAGAUGGCUAAGGAGAGUACAAUAUCAUUCAAAUCGUAUUUCAUAGAUGACCCAAGAAAUUAUAAUCAUGCUGAUUGAAUUAAUGUGAUGAUACCAAGGAAUUCGGCAUCAGGUUGAUUCUGUGUUGCCAUCAUCUAAGACAACUCUUCUUGGUAUGUACUUCUUUCUUGCCAUUGUGAAGGCUAUAAAUCCUGAUUAAAGGCAUGAAAUAGAUUAGUCAUUUAGUAUAGACCGAGAUGAGGUAAUAUCAGGCACAACUGCUUGUCCUUAUUGAAACAAAUAUGAGCAGAUGGAACGGUUGUGGCUGUCUGAGUUCUAAAUUCCUUUACAAAUGAUAAUUGCUUGUUCUGGACUCAAUCUUCUUGGAUUCAAUCUCCUUGUACACCUUUGGAUUCAAUCAUAUAAUUUACCCCAUAAUACUUAGGUUUUUUGGCUUGUUGGUAUUUCUUGCUUGCCACUUUGUGCGAUUAAGGUUAUGGCAUGGGGCUUCAAAUCAUGAAAUCUGAAAGAGUGUUGGUCCUCAACUAAAAAAAUAGUAUUGCUGUAUAUGGAAAAAUGGCUUACUGCAGCUGCAGACUGCUUUAGGACAGAGAUUUAAUUUCCAUUGCAGUGUCUUUGAUGUUUUCUUUCAGGUUUUUGGUAGUCAUGUUAUUAUUAGUCUAGUUUUUAUUUUUUUUAAGGUUUUUUGACUUGUGGUACUUCUUGCUUACCACUUUGUGUGAUUAAGGUUAAGGCAUGGGGCUUCAAAUCAUGAAAUCUGAAAGAGUGUUGGUCUUUAACUAAAAAAAUAGUAUUGCUGUAUAUGGAAUAAUGGCUUACUGCAGUUGCAGACUGCUUUUGGACAGAGAUUUAAUUUCCAUUGCAGUGUCCUUGAUGUUUUCUUUCAGGUUUUCGGUAGUCACUUUAUUAUUAGUUUAGUUAUUUGAUUCAUAGUUAGGGUAUUACUUUGAUCUUUUUCAAUAAUGGAAAUUCAUCUAUUAUGAAGUACACAAAACUAUUGCACUGAGGCCUAAACGUUCGCCAUUCAAGCAAAAAAUCAAUAAUGGAAAUUCAGCUAUUAUGAAGUACACAAAACUAUUGCACUGAGGCCUAAACGUUCGCCAUUCAAGCAUUUAGAAAACCUAGUCUGUGACAACCAAAUGCUUUGCAUUCCUUGAGAAGGAUUUUUGCUGUGACCGAGAGAAAUCUAAGAGGACAUAAUAAACUCUACCAACUCAUUCAAGGAAUUGUGUGAAGGACCAUCAUUAUUAAUGCUAGCUUCAACCAUAUGUUUUAAAUCCCUUGCCCUCUUUCUCAUCUCCUUCCCUUCUUCUUCAACCAUCAGUCUCAGAACAAUUUUCUCUAUAUCACCUUGCUCCAACUCAUUCUCAUACUGCCAUCCUACUCUCCAUAUUUGGCUAACAUACCUUGCAGUCACAUUUUGAUCACCAAAACAUGGUCUGCAUAUCAUUGGAACCCCUUCACAUAGACUCUCCAGUGUUGAAUUCCACCCGCAAUGGGUCCAAAACCCUCCUACUGCUUCAUGUGCCAACACUUGUUUCUGGGGUGCCCAUCUCACAAUGCACCCUCUUUCUCCAACUAAAAUUUUGAAAUCCUUUGUGAAUGAUUCCAUCCAUUCUGAGGCAAUUUUCUGGCUGGAUCGUAUCACCCACAAGAAAGGCUGCUUGCUAGUGGCCAGUCCCCAGGCCAUCUCUUCUACCUCCUUGGCAUUCAUGGAUGCUAUGGUCCCCAAGCUUAUGUAUAUGACAGAAUCUUGAGCUUGCUUGUCAAGCCAUGCUAUGCAACUGGUGUCUUCUUCUAAUAAGCUACUGGUGGAGUCUGGAGCAAGCUUAUGCAUAGGGCCAACUGGGAAGAUUGGAAGUUGUUUUUGGUGUCGAAUAAUUGCUAAUGCUGAUUGUUCAAGGCAAUCUAUAGUGUUAAAUAUUAUUGCUGAGCUUCUUUCUAUAUUGAACAAGUUGGUCAUCAGUCGCAAGGUCUGUUCUUCAAAUUUUGUAACUGGUAGAUCUUUGAACCUCAGGGGAUAGUGUUCAGGCACUGGAUCCUGCAAAAUAGAGUCUGUAGUCCAGAGUUAGAUUUGCAAUAUCUGUUGUAGUUGGUCAUACAAACAAGACUCUAAAGUUGGCCCAAGAUCAACAUGUUUCACAUAUUAUUAGAUGCAAAAGAAAUUGCGAAUCUAUAAGUGUACGUAUUAGACUAUCAAGAAAAGCACAAAAUGUAAUAAUACCUGGUAACGGAAGGCAACCUUGUAAAUGCAGCUUGGGAAUAACAGCACGAACAAGAAGACUGGUGGCGCUACAAGUUCGAAACAUGAUACUAGGAAUCUUAAAAUGAUUAGCAAUUGCUGGAGAGAAAUACAUGACUUCAUCAUAGAUGAUGCAGGCAAUGAAGGUGAGAAGGGCCUGGUUGAUUUAUCAUCUGUGCCAAGAAUUUUUUAAGGGUUCUUGACUUUGGCGUAAAANNNNNNNNNNNNNNNNNNNNNNNNNNNNNNNNNNNNNNNNNNNNNNNNNNNNNNNNNNNNNNNNNNACAUCAUAUAUAUAUAUAUAUAUUUGUGGAAGUAAGAGACAGAAUCCUAAGGAAAUCCGAUAUGGUUUUAAGACAAAAUCUGAUGCAAUUUAAGAAAAACAUCUAUGAUUUUAGUGGAUCUAUAUUGCAGCAGAUCAUAGUUUUCUUAAACAGUUAUAUCAUUUUUUAAGGUGUAAUAACAUUCGAUGAAUGCAAUUCAAUAUUAAUUUACACUUAUGGAUAGUUUAGUUUUUAUUUAUUCAACUCCUAUUUCUUCUUUGACCUCUAUUAUUGCUCUGUAGACUUCAUCUCAUUCAUCAACCUGAUCUCUUUGAAACAUGUGAAAUGAGAGGUAAUUUUUUUGCCUCCUUUUUUAGUAGAAGGUCGUCUAAAGUGGAAAAAGAACCAAAUGUACUAAAAUAUUAUCUUUUAAAAUAAAAAUUAAGUAAUUUAAAAUAAUAUACUGUUUACUCUAUUUCAAUAGUUAAAGAGGAUUUCAUUUUCAAUCAGUUGCUCCAAGCAUUUUUCUACUUUCAGCUUCUUAGGCCAUAGCCAACGGCUCGUGGGUCUUGGCAUGAGGAGAUGAACCCAUGAAUUUCGACAGAGCUGAAAUUUAAGUUUCGAUGGAAACUAUACUUUAGCCCCAUAAAGGAAAUCACCAUUAACAACCUCGAACAUUCUUCUUUCUUCUCCUCAGUUAACUGAUGCAGGACCAACAUAAGCGGUUGGAGCUGAAAUUGUAAGAAGCGCCUAGAAAUGGAGAUUCUCUUUUCAAAAUUCAAGUUGCCAGAGAACAUGAAGAUGGACCAGGUGAAGGCUUCAAUGGAGAGCAGGGUGCUAACUGUGACGGUACCUAAAGCGGAGGUGAAGAAACCUGAUUUUAAGGCCAUUGAGAUUUCUGGAUGAGUGUUUCAAUUUCACGAAAGACUUUGUUGACAUCUCUCAACGUAGGACCAUUAAUGUGUAUGGAAAGUGAGUGAACUCUGUGUUUUGUAUGUGAAGCAUUUGAUGAAAUGUCACUGCACAUGAUGUGCGUUCGUGAUUUGGUAAUGUUAACGUAAACGUGAUAUUCUAAUAAUAAAAAACUACCUUGUAUUGCAAACUUCGUCUUGGUCAUUCUGAAUGACACUUUGUGCCAUUAUCUGUAAGAUGUUUGAUGAAAUAUUGGACUAUGUAACUUUGUGCCAUUAUCUGUAAAAUGAUUGAUGAAAUAUUGGACUAUGUAAUGUCUGGAUUUUAUGUAGAGUCGAUUCUGUAAUGGUUUUCUUUAUGAUCCAUCAAACGCUUAUUUCUUAGGCUUGAAAAGUUAACACAUUCUCUUCGAUUGUCGUUUCUAACAGAGGUUACUGCUUUACCCUUCAUUUUUUUAAGGUAAAGCCAGAGGAGGUUUUGAUGUGCAUUCAUUUCUAUGGAAACCAGGUACUAAUCAUUUUCCUCUGGUUUGCUCUGCUUUUCUGUUUAACUGAACAUUCAGCACUUUAACGUGCUCCUUCUGCUUGAAGUAUGCAGAUGUGUAAUGAGAGGAUAAUAUCAUACAAAUUGAUGUCAUAGAUGACUCAAAAAAUCAUAAUCGCUGACUGAAUUAAUGUGAUGAUACCAAAGAAUUUAAUCAUCAAGCUGAUUCUGUGUUGCCAUCAUCUAAGACAACUCUUCUUGGUAUAGACUUCAUUCUUGCCAUCAUAAAGGCUAUAAAAUCCUGAUUAAAGGCAUGGAUUAGAUUAGUCAUUUACUAUAGACAGAGAUGAGGUAAGUUUAGAAUAACUGCUCGUCUUUAUUGAAAUGAAUAUGAGCAGAAGGAACAGUUGUGGCUGUCCGAGUUCUAAUUUCUAUUUCUUUGCAAUGAUAAUUGCUUGUUCUGGAUUUAAUGUCCUUGUACACCUUUGGAUUCAAUCAUAUAAUGUACCCCAUUACACUAAGGCUUUUGGGCUUGUUGGUACUUCUUGCUCACCACUUUGGGGAUUGAGGUCAUGGCGUGGGUUUCAAAUCAUGAAAUCUGAAAGAGAGUUGUCUCUUGAUUAAAAAAAAUGGUAUUGUUGUAUACUAAAAAUUGAUUUACUGCAGACUGCUUUAAGAAAGAGAUUUUAUCUUCAUUAUAGCAUCUUUAAUCUUUUCUUUCAGGUUUUUGGGAGUUGGGUUAUUAUUAGUCUAGUUAUUUGUAUUAUAGGUAAAGUAUCACUAUGAUUUCUUUUUUCUGUUUGAAAAAUGGAAACUCAGCUAUUAUGAAAUACACGAAACUAUUGCACUGAGGCUUAAAAGCCCACUUCCAAGCAUUUAAAAAACUUAGUUGUGACAACCCAAACGUUUGCAUUCCUUGAGAAGGGAAUUUUGCUGUGACUAAGAGAAACUAAGAGGACAUAAUAAACUCUACCAACUCAUUCAAGGAAUUGCAUGAAGGACCACCAUCGUCAAUGCUAGCUUCAACCACAUGUUUUAAACCCCUUGCUCUCUUUCUCAUCUCUUUCCCUUCUUCUUCAACCAUUAGUCUCAGAACAAUUUUCUCUAUUUCACCUCGCUCCAACUCAUUCUCGUACUGCCAACCUACUCUCCAUACUUGGCUAACAUACCUUGCAGUCACAUUUUGAUCCCCAAAACAUGGUCUGCAUAUCAUUGGAACCCCUUCACAUAUACUUUCCAGUGUUGAAUUCCAUCCGCAAUGGGUCCAAAACCCUCCUACUGCAUCAUGUGCCAACACUUGUCUCUGGGGUGCCAAUCUCAUAAUGCAGCCUCUUUCUCCAACUGAAUUUUUGAAAUCCUUAGUGAAUGACUCUAUCCAUUCUGGGGAUAUUUUCUGGCUGGAUCGUAUCACCCACACGAAAGGCUGCUUACUAUUGGCCUGUCCCCAGGCCAUCUCUUCUAACUCCUUAGCAUCCAUGGAUGCUAUGCUCCCCAAGCUUAUGUAUGUGACAGAAUUUCGAGCUUGCUUGUCGAGCCAUGCUAUGCAGCUGGUGUCCUCUUCUAGUAUGCUGCUGGUGGAGUUUGGAGCAAGUUUAUGCAUAGGGCCAACUGGGAAGAUUGGAAGCUGUUUUUGGUGCUGAAUAAUCGCUAGUGAUGACUGUUCAAGACAAUCUACAGUGUUAAAUAUUAUUGCUGAGCUUUUUUCUGUAUUGAACAAGUUGGCCAUCAGUCGCAAGUUCUGUUCUUCUGACCCAAAUUUUGUAAUGGGUAGAUCUUUGAACCUCAAAGGAUAGUGUUCAGGCACUGGAUCCUGCAAAAUAGAGUCUGUAGUCCAGAGUUAGGUUUCCAAUUACAAAUUCCAAUAUCUGUUGUAAUUGGUCAUACAAACAAGAGUCUCUAAGUUGGCCCCGAUCAACAUGUUUCACAUAUUAUUAGAAGCAAAAGAAAUAUCUAAUCUCUAAGGGUACAUGUUCUACUAUCAAGAAAGGCACAAAAUAUUAAAAUACCUGGUAAAGGAAGGCAACCUUGUAAAUGCAGGUUGGGAAUGAGAGCACGAACAAGAAAAGUGGUGGCACUACAAGUUCGAAACAUGAUGCUAGGAAGCUUGAAAUGAUUAGCGACCGCAGGACAGAAAUACAUGACUUCGUCAUAUAUGAUGCAGGAAAAUUGAGGAUGAGAAGGGUCCUGGUGACUUAUCAUCUGGGCCAAGAAUUUCUGAAGGGUUCUUGACAUUUGGCAUUAAAAAGCAGAGCAAGACCUAUCAUAUUUUUCUGGAGAAGUCUGUUGCUCAAGAAAGGUAUCUGGUAUGGAGAUGAAGUCAAAGGCGGGGUGGGUUAAUGGGUUAGGAGGGUUGAAUUGAGAGUGUGCAACGGUGAUGGAGAAGCCUUUUGAGUGAAGAACAGAACCUAGCUGAAGCAUUUUAUUUAUGUGACCUUGAAAUGGGCAUGGCACAAGCAACAGCCGACCACCUUUCUGUCCUUGUUUCUCCAUCUCUCUCUCUUUUUAUAUAUGUGAUUUCAAUUUAGGUUGCUGCUACUGCAUUGAGUUAUCUUGUUUCAUGUUUAUGUCAUAUAUAUAUGUGUGUGUGGAAGUUAGAGAUAGAAUCCAUAAGAAAAUCCGAUACGGUUUUAAGACAAAAUCUGAUGGGAUUUAAGGAGAAAAUCUACAAUUUUAGUGGAUAUGUAUUGCAGCCUUAUUAGAUCAUGAUUUUCCUAAACAGUUACAUUAUUCGCAGCACAUAGCUUUUAAGGUGUAAUAACAUUAGAUAGAUGCAAUUUAAUAUUAAUUUACGUUUGUGGCUAGUUAACAUUUAUUCUACUGCCAUUUCUUCUUUGACCUCUAUUGUUGCUCUGUAGACUUUAUCUCAUUUGUCAACCUGAUAUCUUUGAAACCAACGCAACAGUGUCUUUGAUCCCUUUUCCCUCGACAUAUGGGAUCCAUUCAGGGACUUCCCUUUCCUUCUUCAUCUCUUUCUUGCGAAAAUUCCGCAUUCCUGAGCACACAUGUGGACUGGAAGAAGAUGCUGGAGGUGCACGUAUCCAGAGCUGAUCUCCCCAGAAUGAAGAAAGAGGAAAUGAAAGUAAGAUCAGCAGCAAGAGACAUGUGGAGAAGGAGGACAAGAGCGACACUCGGCACUGCAUUGAGUGCAGCAGCAGCAAGUUCUCAAGGAGGUUCAGGUUGCCAGAGGUGAAGAGACCUGAUGUUAUGGCCAUUGGGAUUUCUGGCCGAGUGUUUCAAUUUAAUGAAAGGCUUUGUUGAUAUCUCACGAUAUGUGAGGGUUAAUGUGUAUGGAAAGUGAGUAGACUUUGUGUUUUGUAUGUGAAGUGUUUGAUGAAAUGUCAGUGCGUGUGAUGUUGUAAUGCUAACGUAAACAUAAUAUUCUAAUGAUACAAUACCUUAUAUUGUAGACUUUGUUUUGGUCAUUUUGAAUGACACUUUGUGCUAUUGUCUGUAAACUUUUCAAUGAAGUUUGGACUAGGUAAUGUCUGGAUUUUAUGUAGAGUUGAUGCUCCAAUGGUAUUUUUUAUGAUCCAUCAAAUGCUUAUUUCUUAGGGUUGAAAGUUAAUGCGUCCUCUUCCAUUGUCGUUUCCUAGAGAGGUAAUUGCUCUGCUCUUAUUUUUUUUAAGGUAGAGCCGGAGUAGAGCCUGUGGAGGUUUGAUGUGUGGUCAUUUCUAUGGAAAUCAGGUACUAUUCAUUUUCCUGUGGUUUGCUCUGCUUUUCUGUUUAACCAAACAUUCAGCACUUUGACGUGCUCCUUUUGCUUGAAGUAUGCAGAUGGCUAAGGAGAGUGUAAUAUCGCACAAAUUGAAUUUCAGAGAUGAUCAAGAAAUCAUAAUCAUGCGAUUGAAUUAACGUGAUGAGACCAAAGAAUUCAGCAUCAGGCUGAUUCUGUGUUGCCGUCAUCUAAGACAACUUUUUUGGUAUGGACUUCUUUCUUGCCAUCAUGAAGGUUAUAAAAUCCUGAUUAAAGGCACGAAUUAGAUUAGUCAUUUAGUAUAGACAGAGAUGAGGUAAGUUCAGGCGCAACUGCUUGUAUUUAUUGAAAUGAAUAUGAGCAAAAGGAAUGGGGUGUCCGAGUUCUAAUUUCUAUUUCUUUACACAUGAUAAUUAUUUGUUCUGGAUUCAAUCUCCUUGUACACCUUUGGAUUCAAUUAUAUAAUUUACCCGCAUCCUAAGACUUUUUGGCUGCUUUGUACUCCUUGCUCGCAACUUUGGGCGAUUGUGGUUAUGGCAUCAGCUUCAAAUCAUGUAAUCUGAAAGAGUAUUGGUCCUUGACUAAAAAGAAUAAUAAUGUUGUAUACGAAAAUUUGGCUUACUGCAGACUGCUUUAGGAAAGAGAUUUAAUCUUCAUUGGAGUGUCUUUCCUGUUUCCUUUCAGGUUUUGUCAGUCAAAUUAUUAUUAGUUUAGGUAUUUGAUUUAUAGUAAGAGUAUUACUAUGACGUUUUUUUUUUUAAUAACAGAAAUUCAGAAAUUCAGCUAUUAUGAAGUACACAGAACUAUUGCACUGAGGUUUACAUUCAAGCAUUUGAAAAACCUAGACUGUAACAAUCAAAUGUUUUGCAUUCCUUGAGAAGGAUUUUUACUGUGACCGAGAGAAACCUAAGAGGACAUAAUAAACUCUACUAACUCAAACAAGGAAUUACAUGAAGGACCAUCAUUGUUAAUGCUAGCUUCAACCAUGUGUUUCAAAGCCCUUGCCCUCUUUCUCAUCUCCUUCCCUUCUUCUUCAACCAUUAGUCUCAGAACAAUUUUCUCUAUUUCACCUCGCUCCAACUCAUUCUCGUACUGCCAACCUACUCUCCAUACUUGGCUAACAUACCUUGCAGUCACAUUUUGAUCCCCAAAACAUGGUCUGCAUAUCAUUGGAACCCCUUCACAUAUGCUUUCCAGUGUUGAAUUCCAUCCGCAAUGGGUCCAAAACCCUCCUACUGCAUCAUGUGCCAACACUUNNNNNNNNNNNNNNNNNNNNNNNNNNNNNNNNNNNNNNNNNNNNNNNNNNNNNNNNNNNNNNNNNNNNNNNNNNNNNNNNNNNNNNNNNNNNNNNNNNNNNNNNNNNNNNNNNNNNNNNNNNNNNNNNNNNNNNNNNNNNNNNNNNNNNNNNNNNNNNNNNNNNNNNNNNNNNNNNNNNNNNNNNNNNNNNNNNNNNNNNNNNNNNNNNNNNNNNNNNNNNNNNNNNNNNNNNNNNNNNNNNNNNNNNNNNNNNNNNNNNNNNNNCACACACACACACACACACAUAUAUAUAUAUGUUGAAGUGAGGAGAUAGAAUCCAUAAGAAAAUCUUAUAUGGUUUAAUACAAAAGAAAAUCUGAUAUGAUUUAAGACAAAAUCUGAUGUGAUUUAAGAAAAAAAAUCUGAUAAACAUUGGAUCAUAAUUUUCUUAAACGGUUACAUUGUUCGCAGCACUUAAAACUUUUAAGGUGUAAUAACAUUGGAUGGAUGCAGUUUAGUUAAACAUUUAUACUUCUUUGACUUGUAUUAUUGCUCUCGAAUAUAUUUCGUAGAUAAUCUAUGUUCUUUUAAUUUUAUUAUUUGCUAUUUAAUUACAUAAUUAAAAUUUUAAUCUCUUUUUUUUUAGGUAAGAGUUGAAAAACAAUCAAUUGAUGAACUGAAAACCACGUAGCCGUUGGCUCAUGGGUCUUGGCACGAGGAGAUGAACCCAUUCAGAUUCAGAGUUGUAAUUAAAGUUUUGAGAGAAACUCUACUUUCGCCCAUAAAGGGGAUCGCCAUGAACGACCUCGGACAUUCUUCAUUCUUCUCCUGAGUUAACUGAUCCGGGACCAAUAUAAACAGUUGAAGCCGAAAUUGAAAGAAACGUCUAGAAAUGGACAUUCUUCAUCCAUCUCUCUCCUCUUCAUGUUCCUAUAUGUAUACUCGAAUCGGCUUUCUUUCUCACCAUCGAAAAGCAUUUCUUUCGAAACUACCAGCAAGCUUAAAACGCAGUUUCCUUCUCGUUUCAAGUUUUUGUAAAUUAGUUGUCCAAACAUGUCGUUGAUUCCAAGUUUCUUCGGGAACCGUAGCAGCGUCUUCGAUCCUUUCUCCCUCGACGUCUGGGACCCAUUUAAGGAUUUCCCUCCCCCUUCUUCGUCACUUUCGCGGGAAAGUUCUGCGAUCGUCAGCACCCGUGUGGACUGGAAGGAGACACCCGAAGCGCACGUUUUCAAGGCGGAUCUCCCUGGGAUGAAGAAGGAGGAGGUAAAAGUGGAGGUGGAAGAUGGCAGGGUGCUGAAGAUGUGCGGGGAGAGACACGUGGAAAAGGAGGAGAAGAACGAGACACGGCACCGCGUCGAACGCAGCAGCGGGAAGUUCUCGAGGAAGUUCAGGUUGCCGGAGAACGUGAAGAUGGAGGAGGUGAAGGCUUCCAUGGAGAAUGGUGUCCUAACUGUUACAGUGCCUAAAGCUGAGGUGAAGAAGCCUGAUGUUAAAGCCAUUGAAAUUUCUGGCUGAGCGUUUACUAGCAGGUGCUUUCAUUGAUGUUUCUAAAAGCAACUAUGAAGAUUUGGAAGCAGCGUGUAUUUAUUUGUAUGCCAAGUGUUUGACAAAAUGUCUCUGUGUUUGGUUUUAUAUUUUCUAAUGCUUAUGUAAAUUUGGUGUCCAAUGAAUAAAACAGUCAUCUUUCUUCUGUGAUCGAACUUGAUUCUUUCUACUAUGCUUUCAAGAUUUAGAAUUGUAGGAAGCAUUUAGGGAUGGAACUGCUUGCACCAGUUUAACAAAGGGAACAAAAUUUUAAUAUUGUCUCGAGAAAAUUUUAGCAUGCAUUCCUUGAAAGCCCCUCGAAGUUUUCAGGCACUCCAUCCUCCAUAAGUGUCAAGUAAAAGUGCAUUGAGCAGCUGAGAUAUCGCAACAGACUGAUAAAUUUAAACAUUAUUUUGACAUGACCCAAUUGAUUCGAUUAGAUAUUUAUCAUUAAUUUUUAUUGUUAUAAUUGUUUGACAACGUGAAAAAUAUUAUUGUUCAUGUAAAUUAUUAUUUCACUAUGGACGAAAAACUUUGAUAAAAUUUUAAAAUUUAUUAGCAUGCAUUCCUUGAAAGUCCUAGAAGUUUUCAGGCUCUCCAUCCUCCAGAAGUGUCAAGUGAAAGUGCAUUGAGCAGGUGAGACAUUGUAACAGAUUGAUAAAUAUAAACAAUAUUUUGAUUGAUUGGAUUAGACAUUUGUCAUCUAUUUUUAUUGUCAUAACUCUUUGACAACGCUAAAAAAAUUGUUGUUCAUGCAAAUUAUAUUCACUUGGAACGAAAACUCUGAUUAAAUUUAAAGUUAUUAGAUUUCGAAGAGUUCAAAGAUUAAUAGCAAAUAACAGUGCACAGACAUACCAACAACACACUCUUUAACAUAACACACGUGUAUAUUUACCCAUUUACACACGCGCACCGCAAGUGCCACCCAUCAUUUGAUGGGCUCGGAUAAUUGGGCUUUGCUAUUCUAAUCGUUUUAACAAUCUCCCUCAAAAUGAAGAACAUAUAUUUUCUACUCCCUAUCUCGACCAUAUAUGCUGGCUAAUAAGGGUUCAUAGUGCUUUAUUGAGUGUGUUUGUAAAUUAUUGCUUACUCCCUACAUAUUCGGGAAUAAUGCUUUCAUCUUGAAUCUUAUCUUGCAUAUGUUUAGUUUUUUCAUAAAAUACUGAAUUAAAUAUUACGUGUAUCACAAUCUUAUCGUUGUUAUUUUUAAAAUUAAAUUCAAAUAUCAAAUCAAGUAUGAUUAAGAGAAUGUGAUAGAACAUUAUUAAAUUUUAAAAAUAUUCUUUUUUUUGUCUAAUAAUUUUUACUUUGAAGAAGCAAUUCUAUUAUAAACAUAAUAAGUUAUUCUCAUAAUUUACACUCGAGAUUAAGUCUAUUUGAGAGUGAAUGAUGAUAGUUUUGAGGAUAAAUAUUUAUAUUAUAGUUAUGUAUAUUAAAAUUAAUAUAAAUAUUUAAAUUAAAAAAUUAAAGAAAAAAAUAAAUCAUAAUUAUAUUCAAAUUUCAAUAAUAUUGUUAAAAUUUUUAAAUUGAAUUGAUAGGUACGUAGUUUAAGUGAUAUUUUAUGUAAUUAAUAAGAAUUCAAGAAAAUAAUGUAUUAUUUUGUUCGUGUUUUAUUUAUUUUUUUUAAUUUUUUGAAUAGAAAAUAAUAAAAUAUAAUAUAUUUUUAAAGUACGAUAUGUCUUCACAAAUUAAAAAUAAUUAAAUGCUAUUUAUAAAAUGAGAAAUUAUUAUUAUUAUUAUGUCUAAUAUAAAUCACCUUGAUAAAAUUUCACUUAGAAGACGUGCGUAUAAUUAUUCAUAUGAUCAUAAAAAAUUAACAUAAUAACUAAUUUUUAAAUAGAAUUAAUAUAUAUUUUAAUUAUAAAUAAUCGUACUAUAAAAAUACGUUGCAUAACAAUUAUAUAUUUAAGGCGUUAGAAAGAGAUCCUUCCAAGGAAAGUCUGAAGAUUUUAGAAUCCACCAGAAGCCCAUAACGGCUCGGAAACCCAACUCUGAGGGAGACAAGGUCCAGAUGCUCCCGGAAGAUUCACGAACUCAUCAACAGAUUAUCCAGUGAGUUCUGGAUUUGUCCUCUCCUUCUUAUAAAUAUCUAACUGAUCGUUUCUGUCAGACAUCCAAGAACAAGCAAGCAACUCUCGAGGGACUUUCUCACUGCCAACAAACGCUUUGCCGGCUACUUUCUAGCCAACCAAAUACUUCUCUUUUCUUUGUUUUUAAUCAAUCUGCGCAGAACCUUUAACAAUGUCGCUCAUCCCAAGCUUCUUUGGAAACCGACGCAACAGCGUUUUUGAUCCCUUUUCCCUUGACGUAUGGGAUCCAUUCAGGGACUCUCCCUUUCCGUCCUCGUCUCUUGCCCAUGAGAAUUCAGCGUUCGUGAGCACGCGUGUGGACUGGAAGGAGACGCCGGAGGCGCACGUAUUCAGAGCUGAUCUCCCCGGGAUGAAGAAAGAGGAAGUGAAAGUAGAAAUCGAGGAGAAUAACGUGCUGCAGAUCAGUGGUGAGAGACACGUGGAGAAGGAGGACAAGAACGACACUUGGCACCGCGUUGAGCGCAGUAGCGGCAAGUUCUCGAGGAGGUUCAGGUUGCCGGAGAACGUGAAGAUGGACCGGGUGAAGGCUUCAAUGGAGAACGGGGUGCUAACUGUGACGGUGCCUAAAGCGGAGGUGAAGAAACCUGAUGUUAAGGCCAUCGAGAUUUCUGGUUGAGUGUUUCAAUUUCGCGAAAGACUUUGUUGAAAUCUCUCGAUGUACGAGCGCUAAUGUAUUUAGAAAGUGAGUAAACUUGGGUGUUUCGUAUGUGAAGUGUUGUUUGAUGAAAUGUCAGUGCGUGUGAUGUGAGUGUUCUGGUUUUGUAAUGUUCAUGUAAACUUUGUGUUUUCUAUGUGAAGUGUCUGGUGAAAUGUCAUUGCCUGUUAUCUGAGUGCUUAUUUUUCUAAUGGUAAUGUAAACAUAAUUAAAGGAA